UACCCCGCCAACCGGACAGGA
RNAcentral lists this microRNA (21 nucleotides) under Ornithorhynchus anatinus (platypus). Its description in RNAcentral is "oan-miR-1362-5p". Lineage: Eukaryota; Metazoa; Chordata; Mammalia; Monotremata; Ornithorhynchidae. The record is from miRBase by way of RNAcentral.